UACGUAGGGUGCGAGCGUUGCCCGGAUUUAUUGGGCGUAAAGGGCGCGUAGGCGGCCACGCACGUCUGUUGUGAAAUCGCCCGGCUCAACUGGGCGGGGUCAGCGGAUACGGUGUGGCUAGAGCAAGCUAGGGGGCAAUGGAAUUCCCGGUGUAGUGGUGGAAUGCGUAGAUAUCGGGAGGAACACCAGUGGCGAAGGCGGUUGCCUGGAGCUUUGCUGACGCUGAUGCGCGAAAGCGUGGGGAGCGAUCCGG
RNAcentral lists this ribosomal RNA (253 nucleotides) under uncultured bacterium. RNAcentral describes it as "partial 16S ribosomal RNA". It matches the Rfam family "Bacterial small subunit ribosomal RNA", at positions 524 to 776 of the family's 1533-position model. The record is from RNAcentral.